RNAcentral lists this ribosomal RNA (454 nucleotides) under uncultured bacterium. Its description in RNAcentral is "bacterial SSU rRNA". It matches the Rfam family "Bacterial small subunit ribosomal RNA", at positions 29 to 526 of the family's 1533-position model. The record is from RNAcentral.
AGCGAACGCUGGCGGCAGGCUUAACACAUGCAAGUCGAGCGGGCGUAGCAAUACGUCAGCGGCAGACGGGUGAGGAACACGUGGGAACGUACCUUUUGGUUCGGAACAACUGAGGGAAACUUCAGCUAAUACCGGAUAAGCCCUUCGGGGGAAAGAUUUAUCGCCAAAAGAUCGGCCCGCGUCUGAUUAGCUAGUUGGUGAGGUAAUGGCUCACCAAGGCGACGAUCAGUAGCUGGUCUGAGAGGAUGAUCAGCCACACUGGGACUGAGACACGGCCCAGACUCCUACGGGAGGCAGCAGUGGGGAAUAUUGGACAAUGGGCGCAAGCCUGAUCCAGCCAUGCCGCGUGAGUGAUGAAGGCCUUAGGGUUGUAAAGCUCUUUCGACGGGGACGAUAAUGACGGUACCCGUAGAAGAAGCCCCGGCUAACUUCGUGCCAGCCGCCGCCGUAAAAC